CAAAAUGUAGCUAAGUAGUAAAGCGCCUCCCUUACACCGAGGAGACCCCGCGCAAUUCGGGCCAUUUUGA
This 70-nucleotide transfer RNA is filed under the name Gymnura poecilura (longtail butterfly ray). RNAcentral describes it as "tRNA-Val". It matches the Rfam family "tRNA". Rfam says of the family: Transfer RNA (tRNA) molecules are approximately 80 nucleotides in length. Their secondary structure includes four short double-helical elements and three loops (D, anti-codon, and T loops). Further hydrogen bonds mediate the characteristic L-shaped molecular structure. tRNAs have two regions of fundamental functional importance: the anti-codon, which is responsible for specific mRNA codon recognition, and the 3' end, to which the tRNAs corresponding amino acid is attached (by aminoacyl-tRNA synthetases). tRNAs cope with the degeneracy of the genetic code in two manners: having more than one tRNA (with a specific anti-codon) for a particular amino acid; and 'wobble' base-pairing, i.e. permitting non-standard base-pairing at the 3rd anti-codon position. Lineage: Eukaryota; Metazoa; Chordata; Chondrichthyes; Myliobatiformes; Gymnuridae. The record is from RNAcentral.